CCAAAUUGUAGCUCUUUCGAGCGAGGAGGUGCUGAAACACUGCACAGAGACGGGCAAGCACUCAGAGGCAUUUCGUUUGCCUUGAUCCUGGAGGCGGCCUUCUCCCAUUGCUGAGGAUUUGAAGCGAACUCCUGGCAGAUCAGAAAUGUUCAGGCGAACGGCGGUUAUAUUUGUCCGUGGACCCAAGACUUCGUUGACGGGCAAAUAUGGAACCCUGCAACAAGGACUGUAGUGUGAAUAGCGUGCUGCGCUGCUCUCGCCAACUGAAAAGAACUCUGGUAAGAUGCAUGCUUGGUUACGAAAGUCUCACGCAAUCGCUUUUCACAUUGAAUUUGGUCGCAGGUGUGCUGUAAAUGCCGACUGCACAAUAUGUGACUGGCCCGCGGCUGCUUUGAAGGUAAGAUUGUGUUCUCAUUAUUCUAUUUAUUGUACCAUUUGUUUUCCAGUGACAUAGCCAACAACGAAAUCCAUCCUCUCUCCACAUAUUAUCUAGUCUGUGCGCUGUGGAGCUUGAAGCACUUCUCGGAAUUUCAGCACACUCGCAUUUAUUUUUUUCCCGACAGAAGAAAAAUGCAAGUCUAACAUCUCGACGGUAAAACGUCGCAUCUGCGCACAGGGCCAAGAGCACGAGAAGUGGCCGAAAGAAGGGAACCG
Long non-coding RNA from Rhipicephalus sanguineus (brown dog tick), 654 nucleotides. RefSeq lists it as uncharacterized. Lineage: Eukaryota; Metazoa; Arthropoda; Arachnida; Ixodida; Ixodidae. The record is from RefSeq and is a predicted model, not a curated record. The transcript has 4 exons.